GAUGAACGCUGGCGGCGUGCCUAAUACAUGCAAGUCGAGCGAACGGAUAAGGAGCUUGCUCCUUUGAAGUUAGCGGCGGACGGGUGAGUAACACGUGGGUAACCUACCUAUAAGACUGGAAUAACUUCGGGAAACCGGAGCUAAUGCCGGAUAACAUUUGGAACCGCAUGGUUCUAAAGUAAAAGAUGGUUUUGCUAUCACUUAUAGAUGGACCCGCGCCGUAUUAGCUAGUUGGUAAGGUAACGGCUUACCAAGACGAUGAUACGUAGCCGACCUGAGAGGGUGAUCGGCCACAUUGGGACUGAGACACGGCCCAA
RNAcentral lists this ribosomal RNA (317 nucleotides) under uncultured bacterium. RNAcentral describes it as "bacterial SSU rRNA". It matches the Rfam family "Bacterial small subunit ribosomal RNA", at positions 28 to 334 of the family's 1533-position model. The record is from RNAcentral.